RNAcentral lists this ribosomal RNA (435 nucleotides) under uncultured bacterium. RNAcentral's name for it is "partial 16S ribosomal RNA". It matches the Rfam family "Bacterial small subunit ribosomal RNA", at positions 29 to 507 of the family's 1533-position model. The record is from RNAcentral.
AACGAACGCUGGCGGCAUGCCUAACACAUGCAAGUCGAACGAUCGCCUCCGGGUGAUAGUGGCGCACGGGUGCGUAACGCGUGGGAAUCUGCCCUUAGGUUCGGAAUAACAGCUGGAAACGGCUGCUAAUACCGGAUGCAAUUGCGAGAUCGAAGAUUUAUCGCCUUAGGAUGCGCCCGCGUUGGUUUAGGUUGUUGGUGGGGUAAAGGCCUACCAAGCCGACGAUCCAUAGCUGGGCUGAGAGGGUCAGCAGCAACACCGGGGCUGAGACGCGGCCCAGAAUCCUACGGGAGGCAGCAGAGGGGAAUAGUGGAAAAUGGGCGCAGGGCUGAUCGAGCUAUGCCGCUUGAGUGCUGAAGGCCCUAGGGAUGUAAAGCUCUAUUAACCGGGAAGAUAAUGACUGUACCGAGAGAAUAAGCCCCGGCUAACUCCGUG